Molecule: ribosomal RNA, 460 nt
Filed under: uncultured bacterium
Lineage: Bacteria
Description: partial 16S ribosomal RNA
Rfam family: Bacterial small subunit ribosomal RNA
Source: RNAcentral
CCUACGGGAGGCAGCAGUGAGGAAUAUUGGUCAAUGGACGAGAGUCUGAACCAGCCAAGUAGCGUGAAGGAUGACUGCUCUAUGGGUUGUAAACUCCUUUUAUAUGGGAAUAAAAUGUUCCACGUGUGGGAUUUUGUAUGUACCAUAUGAAUAAGGAUCGGCUAACUCCGUGCCAGCAGCCGCGGUAAUACGGAUGAUCCGAGCGUUAUCCGGAUUUAUUGGGUUUAAAGGGAGCGUAGGUGGAUUGUUAAGUUAGUUGUGAAAGUUUGCGGCUCAACCGUAAAAUUGCCUUUGAAACUGGCAGUCUUGAGUACAGUAGGGGUGGGCGGAAUUCGUGGUGUAGCGGUGAAAUGCUUAGAUAUCACGAAGAACUCCGAUUGCGAAGGCAGUUCACUGGACUGCAACUGACACUGAGGCUCGAAAGUGUGGGUAUCAAACAGAAUUAGAUACCCCUGUAGUC